CUGGCCAACAGACAUAGGAAAAAAGUGUUCAACUUCAUUAACCAUCAGAGAAGUACAAAUCAAAACUACAAUGAGAUAUCAUCUCACCCCAGUUAAAAUGGCUUUUAUCUGAAAGACAGACAACAAUAAAUGCUAGCAAGGAUUUCGAGAGAAAGGAACCUUUGUACACUUUUGGUGGGAAUGUCAAUUAGUACAACCACUAUAGAGAACAGUUUGGAUGUUUCUCAAAAAACUAAAAAUAGAGCUACCAUAUGAUCCA
This is a long non-coding RNA of Sapajus apella (tufted capuchin), 259 nucleotides long. RefSeq lists it as uncharacterized. Lineage: Eukaryota; Metazoa; Chordata; Mammalia; Primates; Cebidae. The transcript is spliced from 4 exons. The record is from RefSeq and is a predicted model, not a curated record.